AGCGCCCGCAGGCCUGAGCCCCGAAGGGAGCCCUACCGCUGGUACGCAGCCGGGUCCCAGGAGCCGGGCAGCCGAAUGCUGUGCACCGCCUUGUUCCGGAGGGCGCUGUCGUGAUAGAUGCGGCUCAUCGGGAUGGAGGAGUCAGAAGCAACCAAGCCAUCUUCCCAAAAUAGAAUGAAACCUGAACUGGACUUACAAGGCAGAAGAUAAGAGUUUCCCUGGCUCUGCCACUUGACUAGCAGUGUGACCAUGAUUAAACUCCUUAAUCUCUGGACCUGGAUUUUCUCAUCUGUAAAAAUAAAAGGGUUGAAUCUCUAAGGGCCCUUCUUUUGCUGAA
Molecule: non-coding RNA, 337 nt
Organism: Monodelphis domestica (gray short-tailed opossum)
Lineage: Eukaryota; Metazoa; Chordata; Mammalia; Didelphimorphia; Didelphidae
Source: RefSeq, a predicted model, not a curated record